RNAcentral lists this long non-coding RNA (2223 nucleotides) under Homo sapiens (human). RNAcentral describes it as "HSALNT0312915". The record is from RNAcentral. Lineage: Eukaryota; Metazoa; Chordata; Mammalia; Primates; Hominidae.
GUUGAACCUUACUUUGGAAAGAGCAGUUUUCUAACACUGUUUUUGUAAAAUUUCCAAGUGAAUACUUUGAGUGCUUUGAAGCCUAUGGUAGACAACGAAAUAUCUUCAUGUAAAAACUACAAAGAAUCAUUCGCAGAAACCACGUUGUGAUCUCUGCAUUCAACUCACAGAGUUGAACCUUUCUUCCUAUAGAGCAGCUAUGAAACAGUCUCUUUGUAGAAUUUGCAAGGGUGUAUUUAGAGGGCAUUGAAGCCUACGGUAGAAAAGGAAAUAUCUUACCAUAAAAUCUACUCAGAAGCAUUCUCAGAAACUGAGUUGUGAUGUUUGCAUUCAACUCACAGAGUUCAACAUUCCUUUUAAUGGAGCGGUUUUGAAACACUCUUUUUGCAGAAUCUGCAAGUGGAUAUUUGGACCUCUUUGAGGCCUUCGUUGGAAACGGGAUUUCUUCAUGUAAUGCCAGACAGAAGAAUUCUCAGUGAAUUCUUUCUGUGUGUGUGUAUUCAACUCACAGAGUUGAACGUUCCUUUAGACAGAGUAGAUUGGAAACACUCUUUUUGUGGAAUUUUCAGGUGGAGGUAUCAAGCGCUUUGAGGCCAAUGAUAGAAAAGGAAAUACCUUCGUAUAAUAAUUAGACGGAAUCAUUCUCAGAAACUGCUUUGCAAUGUGUGCGUUCAACUCACAGUGUUUAACCUUUCUUUUCAUACAGUUGUUUCGAAACACUCUUUUUGCAGAAUCUGCAAGUGGAUAUUUGGACCUCUUUGAAGUCUUCGUUGGAAAUGGGAUUUCUUCAUAUAAUGCUAGACAGAAGACUUCUCAGUAACUGCUUUUUCUGGUGUGUAUUCAACUCUCAGAGUUGAACUUUCCUUUAGAAACAGCAGAGUUGAAACUCUCUUUUUGUGGAAUUUGCAAGUGGAGAUUUCAAAGCUUUGAGGCCAAUGGUAGAAAAGGAAAUAUCUUCGUAUGCAAACUAGACAGAAUCAUUCUCAGAAACUACUUUGGUACGUGUGUGUUCAACUCACAGUGUUUAACCUUUCUUUUCAUAGAGCAGUUUGGAAACACUCAGUUUGUAAAGUCAGCAACUGGAUAUUUGGAUGUAUUUGAGGCCUUCGUUGGAAACGGGAUUUCUUCAUAUAAUGCUAGACAGAAGAAUUCUCAGUAACUUCUUAGGGUUGUGGGUAUUCAACUCACAGAGUUGAAGCUUCCUUUAGGCGGAGCAGAUUGGAAACACUUUUUGUGGAAUUUUCAGGGGGAGACUUCAAGCGCUUUGAAGUGAAUGGUAGAAAAGGAAAUAUCUUCGUAUAAAAACUAGACGGAGUCAUUCUCAGAAACUACUUUGUGAUGUUUGCAUUCAACUCACAGAGUUUAACGUUUCUUUUCAUAGAGCAGUUUGGAAACACUCUUUUUGCAGAAUCUGCAAGUGGAUAUUUGGACCUCUUUGUGGCCUUCGUUGGAAACGGGAUUUUUCAUAUAAUGCUAGACAGAAGAAUUCUCAGUAACUUCUUUUUGUGGUGUGUAUUCAACUCACAGAGUUCAACUUUCCUUUAGACAGAGCAGAUUUGAAACUCUCUUUUUGUGGAAUUUGCAAGUGGAGAUUUCAAGCGCUUUGAGGCCAACGGUAGAAAAGGAAAUAUCUUCGUAGAAAAAAUAGACGGAAUCAUUCUCAGAAACUGCUUUGUGAUGUGUGCAUUGAACUCACAGUGUUUAACACUUCUUUUCAUAGAGCACUUUGGAAACACUCAGUUUGUAUUGUCUGCAACUGGAUAUUUGGACCUCUUUGAGGCAUUCGUGGUAAACGGGAUUUCUUCGUGUAAUGAUAGACAAUAGAAUUCUCAGUGAAUUUUUUUCUGUGUGUGUGUAUUCAACUCACAGGGUUGAACCUUCCUUUAGACAGUGCAGAUUUGAAACACUUGUCUGUGGAAUUUGCAAGGGGAGAUUUCAAGCACUUUGAGGCCAUUGGUGGAAAAGGGAAUAUCUUCGUAUAAAAACUAGACAGAAUCAUUCUCAGGAACUACUUUGUGAUAUGUGCAUUCAACUCACAGAGUUUAACCUUUCUUUUCAUAGAUGAGUUUGGAAACAGUCAGUUUGUGAAUUCUGCAACUGGAUAUUUGGACCUCUUUGAGGCUUUCGUUGGAAACGGGAUUUCUUCACAUAAUGCUAGACAGAAGAAUUCUCAGUAACUUCUUUUGGGAUGUAUGUAUUCAACUCAGAGAGUUGAACCUUCCU